GUAGCAUCCCUCAAAACAUAGGCAAUUGCACCGCCUUCCAGGUCUUGCAUGUAUACCAUCUAAUGCAAUUGCGACAAAUUCUGGAUAAACGCUACUAUGUCUAGUCCAAGAAUGUUUAAUCACUUUUGAUUGGUAGGGACUUGUCUUACAAUCAGCUGACUGGAGAGAUUCCUUUUAAUAUUGGGUUCUUGCAAGUCGCUACAUUAUCUUUGCAAGGUAAUCAACUCUCAGGAAAAAUCUCAUCGGUGAUUGGCUUGAUGCAGGCACUUGCUGUGUUGUAAGUGCUUUGUAAAUUCUUUCAAUUCUAGGAAAUUUGACCUAUCCCUCCUAUUCUAGGAAAUUUGACCUGCACGGAGAAAUUGUGAGUAUUUGCUUUGUAAUUCUUUCAAUUUUCUUCAUUUUCUUGAUCGAUUUGCAUUUCAAAGAUGCAUACGUCAUUUUGAAAAUAGCUGAUAGUCUUUUGCUACAUAUGACAAACUGCUGAACUGUCGUUAAACUUCCAUUCAUCAAUUUAUAUUUGUAUUAAUUUAAUGUGAACAACAAACAACAUCAUUACAUUACAUGAUACUUAAAAUGUAUAUUCUACUCCGUGAUCUAAUUGUCAACUUUCUAAUUCCGAUAUCGGAUGUUGUAGGUAUUUGCAUGGUAACAAGCUGACUGGGCCCAUUCCCCCAAAGCUCGGAAAUAUGACAAAAAUCCACUAUCUGAUGGACAAGAUGCUAAAGAUCUAAAGCAAAGCACUGCUGAUAUGACAGUUUUUGUAAGUCGCGUGAUAUGUGGUCCUCUCGAUAAGAAUUUUUGUAACUAUGUGGCUUUCAUCUUGCCAUGGCUCUUGAUCUAACUGUGGAUCUGAGUGCCGCUAGUGCUGCUGCUGAAGAAUGAAUGAAUGAAUGAACUUUUUGGGUCACACAUCCAUCCCACAAGAACAGAGAGAAUAGAGUUCAAAAGAACAUUCCCUUUCCAUGAUGAAAUUCUUUUGAAUGCAAAUGAUAGCAGUCCUUAAAAACACAUUCUGCACUUUCUCCACAAAAGACUUUUAUUUAUCAUUCAAUAUUACAAGAAGAGAUUCUUUUUUCUGGAUUAUACAUUGGAUUAUUCAAGUAUGGCUAAACUUUUCUAAGGGAGUAGCAACGGUCAAGAAAAAAACUAGAGGUACAGAAGAUGCAUUUGGCCAUUGUUUGUUCCACACACAAUAUGCUUUUGUCACUUUAAUUUUCAUCCUCCCUUCUUUGUGAUUGGCUAUAUGAAUGCAUUUUUUCUGUUUUUACUAUAUGUGUUCAGCAUCUGAGAAUGCUUUCAAAGGAAUUCUGACCAGUCUUCCCAAGGCAGGAGGUGGUGAGUUUGGAAAGUUCUAUAGCAUACCAGCACUGAAUGAUCCAAGGAUUGAAGACCUUGGGAGGAAAGAUUGAAGAGUGCACAUGAGCAAGGAACACUUGUCCACCUUUCAAAUUUGGAUCCAGAAUAUACUUCAGGAGAAGCGGAGAUACAAUAUGGAUCAAUUGGCUGGGCUGUAGGUGUGACUCUUGGAUAUGCACUGACUGCACAGAAUAAGCGAGUGAUUGCUUCCAUUGGUGAUGGUAGCUUCCACGUGA
Molecule: non-coding RNA, 1592 nt
Organism: Camellia sinensis
Lineage: Eukaryota; Viridiplantae; Streptophyta; Magnoliopsida; Ericales; Theaceae
Source: RefSeq, a predicted model, not a curated record